AGCGAGCUAACUUAGCAAGCGUGCCACACUCCCCAGAGAUCGAGCGAAGAUGUUUGGCGUCGGCGGCAUCGUGAGCGACCUGACGGGGGGCCUCCGGGGCGCCCACCUCAAGGGCUCCGUCGUCCUCAUGCGCAAGAACGCGCUCGACUUCAACGACUUCGGCGCCACCGUCAUGGACGGCGUCACCGAGCUCCUCGGCCGCGGCGUCACCUGCCAGCUCAUCAGCUCCACCAACGUCGACCACAGUGAGCACUCACUCGCCACUCCCCGUUUUGUAAUCCCUGCCACUGUGAUACAUGGAAAACGGAAGCAGAUCCGCAUCCUCACGGCCGAACCAAGCAAAUAAUAUAUAUAAAGAACUAAAAUGCACGUAUGGUUACGGAUGCAUGCUUGAGCUUGAGCUUGAGAGACAGGGACGUGCAAAAAAUAACUUAAUAAUGGAGUAACUAAUGUGAGACAUGACGCACGGAGGAGUUUACCUUACUACUAAUUAAUUGUCGAGCAGACAACGGUGGGCGCGGGAAGGUGGGCGCGGAGGCGAACCUGGAGCAGUGGCUCCUGCCGACGAACCUGCCGUUCAUCACCACCGGCGAGAACAAGUUCGCCGUCACCUUCGACUGGUCGGUGGACAAGCUGGGGGUGCCGGGCGCCAUCAUCGUCAAGAACAACCACGCCUCCGAGUUCUUCCUCAAGACCAUCACCCUCGACAACGUGCCCGGCCGCGGCACCAUCGUCUUCGUCGCCAACUCAUGGGUCUACCCGCAGGCCAAGUACCGCCACAACCGCGUCUUCUUCGCCAACGACGUGAGCAUUUUAUACGAGUACCACUCCAUGGUAGCUAGUACGAUGGAUUUCGCUUGCUCGUUGCCUGACUGGUCGGUUCCGUUGGGACAUACGUGCCGCAGACGUACCUGCCGCACCAGAUGCCGCCGGCGCUGAAGCCGUACCGCGACGACGAGCUCCGGAACCUGAGGGGCGACGACCAGCAGGGGCCCUACCUGGACCACGACCGCGUCUACCGCUACGACGUCUACAACGACCUCGGCGACUCCCGCGACGUCCUCGGCGGCUCCAAGGACCUCCCCUACCCGCGCCGCUGCCGCACCGGCCGGAAGCCCUCGGACAGCAGUGCGUGUCUCCUUCCUUUCGAUCUCCCCAUAACGUGUACUUGGUCUGACAAGCAUGUGUGGCCGACGCAGAGCCCGACCACGAGAGCCGGCUGCUGCCGCUGGUGCAGAACGUCUACGUGCCGCGCGACGAGCUCUUCGGCCACCUCAAGCAGUCGGACUUCCUGGGCUACACGCUCAAGGCGCUGGUGGACGGGAUCAUACCGGCCAUCCGCACCUACGUCGACCUCUC
RNAcentral lists this long non-coding RNA (1359 nucleotides) under Hordeum vulgare. RNAcentral describes it as "long non-coding RNA (HVUL_LNC013853)". The record is from RNAcentral. Lineage: Eukaryota; Viridiplantae; Streptophyta; Magnoliopsida; Poales; Poaceae.